GAUGAAGAACGUAGCGAAAUGCGAUACGUAAUGUGAAUUGCAGAAUUCAGUGAAUCAUCGAAUCUUUGAACGCAUAUUGCGCUCUUUGGUAUUCCGAAGAGCAUGCUUGUUUGAGUAUCAGUAAACACCUCAAAGUCUUUUUUUUUUCUUGAAGAAAAAGACCUUGGACUUGAGCAAUCCCAACUCUUCUUUCAGAAGAGGCGGGUUGCUUGAAAUGCAGGUGCAGCUGGACAUUCUCCUGAGCUAAAAGCAUAUUCAUUUAGUCCCGUCAAACGGAUUAUUACUUGUGCUGCAGCUAACAUAAAGGGAGUUUGACCAUUUUGGCUGACUGAUGCAGGAAUUUCACAAGAGUCUUCAAAACGCUCUUGUUAAACUCGAUCUCAAAUCAAGUAAGACUACCCGCUGAACUUAAGCAUAUCAAUAAGCGGAGGA
This 432-nucleotide unclassified non-coding RNA is filed under the name soil metagenome. Its description in RNAcentral is "partial contains 5.8S ribosomal RNA, internal transcribed spacer 2, and large subunit ribosomal RNA". The stretch from base 1 to 120 matches the Rfam family "5.8S ribosomal RNA", at positions 35 to 154 of the family's 154-position model. The record is from RNAcentral.